UCAGAGGAGAGGAUGGUAGGCUGGGUCCAAAGCAGCAGAGAGAUGGAGGAAGAGUGAGAAAAGGUCAUUGGAUUUAGCAAUAGAGAAAUUCCUAGUGGCCCAGAAGAGGGCAGUUUCAGUCAGGUGGUGAAGAUGGAAAUCAGAUUGCCUGAGGGUGGAGAAGUGAAUGGGAGGUGAGAAACUGAUAAGGGGUGAGAAAGUGAUAAAACAGGAGGGAGAGUGAAAUCUGGAGCGCUUCCUGGAGGAUGUGAGCUCAGAACUGAAGGGGUGGGCUGCAAAGGAGAGACCUGACCUGAACUUGGCCUUCCAGUUUCCAGCAGCGGGUAGAGAGCUUCCAUGAGAACCCAAGCAUCCGAGGGCUGCCGUGUGACACUUAUAUCAGUCAGACAAUUACCUUAGUGAGCUAUGGCCCCCUCCAUCACUAAGUCAGACCCUAGAGCGGACGGGAGAAGGGCCCCAGCAUGACCUAAUGUUCUCCCCAUGGGGAGUUGGCCCAACCUUUCCUUGCGGAGUCUGUCCCUAUCCCAGAUGUUCUGAGGUCCUUUCCUUCCUCUCCCCAACUCUAUCCCCCUGGAAAAGGGCCACAGAAAGGGCCUCCCUAUACUUCCUCUGGAAACAUGGAAAGGGACGCCCAUUGUGGCCUCAAGAAAAACAUCCUUCCCAGAGACACAGAGACAUCCUCCUCAGGGACAUAGACUUCAAAAGAGACACCUCCCUACACUAUGAGAGUAAGCUCUCCAGAGACAGAGUGACCUUCAGACACACACACAAAGAGAACUCCAGAAACAGAGAAACUCCACUAGAAAGACGACCCAAAGAGAGAUUCCUCCAAGGACAGAGACACCCUCCCAUCAGAGAUAUGGAGAGACCUCUCACACGGACCAAAGCCAUGCCCUCUGCCCACCACUCAGCUCUCUAGCUGAGCGUCUGUCCUGCCUGGGGCCCUCAGAGAGCGAGCCUGCUUGGGAGGCAGCUGCAAAUGCUCUUGACCAUGCGACCUGCCUCUUCCACCUCCUCUUUCAAGAACUGCAGGUCAGGAAGCCCCUGGGCCCCCUCCCAAACUGUCUAGAAAAUGGGGACCUGGGGGUUGUGACAAGGGUCAGAUCAGGAUCAGGCCGAGAUCCAGCCAAGCCAGAGACUGGACUAGGAGAGAGGAAGAGAGGAAAGAAAGGGGAGGGAGCAGAAUGGAGGGAGGAGAUAGAUAUUUACACUGACAGCCCAGCUGGGGGAGGGGGGAGGCACAACCUUGGUCUGGGCCUAAACUCCCAAAGGCUCCCGUUGCCUAUUGACUGCUAUACUCAGAAGUGUGGAAGCCUGAGGCUGCGCCUGGGCGUGCUGGUCCAGGAUGGGUGUGACCUUUUAUGUCCUUUGUGCUCAGGUCUGUGACUCUGUAUGGAAUGGGUGCCCAUGAAUUAAAUGAGCUUCAGCUUUGGUUACAUGUGUGUGCUCAACCCCUCCCACCCUCAUGAAGACAUUGAUGGGCUCUGGGACCCCCCCAUUAAGACUUGAAGAAUUCCCGGCUCUUCUACUCAUGGGCUCGGGGGCCUGGGUGGGACCUGAAGGGAGCUGUGGGUCAGAUGAAUUCUGAUCUGUCCUUUCUCUGGACGAUUCCAGCCCCACUUCUCCAAAGUGAUGUGUCACAAGUAGCUGACCAGCUCUGAGGCUCUGGAUGGCAUUGUAGAGACCCUGGGAGCUCAAGCCUUAGCCCUCAGAAGCAUUCAUGAGCAGCCUUACCUGAUAUGAAUGGACAUGUCCACAGGUGGGAGGGAGGGGAUAGGUGGAGAAUGGACGGGGAGAAAGGCAGAAAAAUGAAGGGGCAAAGGAUCCCCCCCUUCUCCUGGUGCCUUUGCCCUUCCUCCCUUCUCAUCUUCUUCCAAAAUUGGAUCUCUAGGGGCAGCUGUGUGGCACAGCGAAUAGAGCACCGGCCAUCAAGGCAGGAGGACCUGAGUUCAAAUCCGGCCUCAGACCAAACAUUUGACACUUACCAGCUGUGUGAUCCUGGGCAAGUUACUUAACCCCUAAAAAAAAAAGGGGUCUCUAUCUAGUCUAGCCCAAUCUCCCCCUAUAUCUAUCCUCCCUAUCUGUCUUUGCCCCUCUCUCCUCUCCCUCCCUGUCUCUUUCCCCUCCUCUUCCUCUUCCCCCUUUUCCUUCUCCUCCUCCUCCUCUUCUUCUUCUCUCUCCCCCAAUAUUUCCUCUCUCUAAUGCCCUUCUCUGUCUCUGAAAUAUCUCCUCCUCUCUAUCUCCCUUAUAUCUCUCCCAUUUCUGUCCCCCAAUCUCUCCCCUUUCAUCUCUUCCUGUUCUCAUUUUCCCCAUCUCCUUUGUCCUUCUAUCUCCCCAUCUUUUUCCCUGUAAAGUCCCAUUAUUUCUUCUCAUCUCUAUUCCCCUCUGUGCCCCUCCAAUAUCCCCCCCAAUUUCUACUUCCUUCUAUCCUGAUAAUCUCUCUCCCCUGCCCCACAUCACUGUGUCUCCCCUUAGUACUUACUCUAAUAUGUGCGUAGACCCUGGUUGGGGACCUGCACCGAAAGCACCUGGUGGAAUAUGUGGAGAUGAAUUGGAGGGGCCUACUCUGGGUGGGUUUCAGAGUUUGGGGAUCUAGCUCUGCUUCUGGGCUCCAGAGAUAAGGAUUCCAGGACUGACGUGGUUGAGGGGGAGACUGAUUCUGGAGCUGACUAUAUGAAUAAAGCUCCCAGAACUGUGCCGUGACCA
This 2706-nucleotide long non-coding RNA is filed under the name Phascolarctos cinereus (koala). RNAcentral's name for it is "lncRNA (ENSPCIG00000034039.1)". Lineage: Eukaryota; Metazoa; Chordata; Mammalia; Diprotodontia; Phascolarctidae. The record is from RNAcentral.